GUCGAGAAUCUUUCACAAUGGGGGCAACCCUGAUGGAGCGAGGCCGCGUGGAGGAUAAGGUCUUCGGAUUGUAAACUCCUGUCAUGCGUGAACAAGGUUGCUUGGUUAAUACCUGGGCAAAUUGAUGGUAACGCAAGAGGAAGAGACGGCUAACUCUGUGCCAGCAGCCGCGGUAAUACAGAGGUCUCAAGCGUUGUUCGGAAUCACUGGGCGUAAAGGGUGCGUAGGUGGCGUGGUAAGUCAGAUGUGAAAGCCCGGGGCUCAACCUCGGAACUGCAUCCGAUACUGCCAUGCUAGAGUACUGGAGAGGUGACUAGAAUUCUCGGUGUAGCAGUGAAAUGCGUAGAUAUCGAGAGGAAUACCAAAGGCGUAGGCAGGUCACUGGACAGUUACUGACACUGAGGCACGAAGGCCAGGGGAGCGAACGGGAUUAGAUACCCUGGUAGUCC
RNAcentral lists this ribosomal RNA (449 nucleotides) under uncultured bacterium. RNAcentral's name for it is "partial 16S ribosomal RNA". It matches the Rfam family "Bacterial small subunit ribosomal RNA", at positions 354 to 796 of the family's 1533-position model. The record is from RNAcentral.